GACAGAGGGUGCAAACGUUGUUCGGAAUUACUGGGCGUAAAGCGCGUGUAGGCGGCAGCGCAAGUCGGAUGUGAAAGCCCAUGGCUCAACCAUGGAAGUGCACCCGAAACUGCGUUGCUAGAGUCUCGGAGAGGAAGGUGGAAUGCUUGGUGUAGAGGUGAAAUUCGUAGAUAUCAAGCGGAACACCGGUGGCGAAGGCGGCCUUCUGGACGAGUACUGACGCUGAGACGCGAAAGCGUGGGUAGCAAACAGG
This 253-nucleotide ribosomal RNA is filed under the name uncultured bacterium. RNAcentral describes it as "partial 16S ribosomal RNA". It matches the Rfam family "Bacterial small subunit ribosomal RNA", at positions 524 to 776 of the family's 1533-position model. The record is from RNAcentral.